Non-coding RNA from Potamilus streckersoni, 76 nucleotides. Lineage: Eukaryota; Metazoa; Mollusca; Bivalvia; Unionida; Unionidae. The record is from the annotation of a GenBank genome assembly.
GCUCUCCGGUUGCCUAGUGGUUAGAGCGUCCGCCUAAAAUGCGAGAGGUCGCGGGUUCGAACCCCUUGCAGUGUCA